RNAcentral lists this ribosomal RNA (483 nucleotides) under uncultured bacterium. RNAcentral describes it as "bacterial SSU rRNA". It matches the Rfam family "Bacterial small subunit ribosomal RNA", at positions 28 to 507 of the family's 1533-position model. The record is from RNAcentral.
GAUGAACGCUAGCGGCAGGCUUAAUACAUGCAAGUCGAGGGGCAGCAGGGAUAGCAAUAUUCGCUGGCGACCGGCGCACGGGUGCGUAACACGUAUACAAUCUGCCUUUUACUGGGGGAUAGCCUUUCGAAAGAGAGAUUAAUACCCCAUAAUAGAUUGCUCGGCAUCGAGUGAUUUUGAAAGCUCCGGCGGUAAGAGAUGAGUAUGCGUCUGAUUAGCUAGUAGGUGAGGUAACGGCUCACCUAGGCCACGAUCAGUAGGGGAUCUGAGAGGACUAACCCCCACACGGAUACUGAGACACGGAUCCGACUCCUACGGGAGGCAGCAGUAAGGAAUAUUGGACAAUGCCCGCAAGGGUGAUCCAGCCAUGCCGCGUGCAGGAAGACGGUCCUAUGGAUUGUAAACUGCUUUUAUACAGGAAGAAACCCUCCCACGUGUGGGAGCUUGACGGUACUGUAGGAAUAAGGAUCGGCUAACUCCGUG